GGUGAUAGGGGCCAGCCCAGUGGCGCAGCAGUUAAGUUCACACAUUCCGCUUCUCAGAGGCCCGGAGUUCGCCAGUUCAGAUCCCGGGUGCAAACAUGGCACCGCUUGCCAAAAGCCAUGCUGUGACUUGAGUUACAAACGCCACCACAGCGGUCUUAACAUCUGGCUUCCAAGGGGUCAAACUCUGAACAGUGCAGGGAGAGUAGGAGGCCAAAUGGGACCUCCUGCUGGGCAACCAGCUGUCUUCUUGAAACUCCUCCUGAAGCUGCAGCCAGCAGAGCAGCACAUCUCUGCAUGUGAGGACACCUCCCUUUCCUUCUCUCUCACUCUCACUGCCUCGAUUUGUACCUCCCGAAUAAAACAUCGGCACUAAA
Molecule: long non-coding RNA, 374 nt
Filed under: Equus asinus (donkey)
Lineage: Eukaryota; Metazoa; Chordata; Mammalia; Perissodactyla; Equidae
Description: lncRNA (ENSEASG00005037104.1)
Source: RNAcentral